GACGAACGCUGGCGGCGUGCUUAACACAUGCAAGUCGAACGGUGAACUCCGCUUGCGGGGGGAUCAGUGGCGGACGGGUGAGUAACACGUGGGCAACCUGCCCUCAGCUCUGGGAUAACUCCAAGAAAUUGGGGCUAAUACCGGAUAUGACCGCUGACCGCAUGGUCUGGUGGUGGAAAGAUUUAUCGGCUGGGGAUGGGCCCGCGGCCUAUCAGCUUGUUGGUGGGGUAGUGGCCUACCAAGGCGACGACGGGUAGCCGGCCUGAGAGGGUGACCGGCCACACUGGGACUGAGACACGGCCCAGACUCCUACGGGAGGCAGCAGUGGGGAAUAUUGCGCAAUGGGCGAAAGCCUGACGCAGCGACGCCGCGUGGGGGAUGACGGCCUUCGGGUUGUAAACCUCUUUCAGCAGGGACGAAGCGAAAGUGACGGUACCUGCAGAAGAAGCACCGGCCAACUACGUG
Molecule: ribosomal RNA, 465 nt
Filed under: uncultured bacterium
Lineage: Bacteria
Description: partial 16S ribosomal RNA
Rfam family: Bacterial small subunit ribosomal RNA
Source: RNAcentral